This is a long non-coding RNA of Homo sapiens (human), 2501 nucleotides long. RefSeq lists it as uncharacterized. The record is from RefSeq and is a predicted model, not a curated record. The transcript is spliced from 2 exons. NCBI's taxonomy places the organism in Eukaryota, Metazoa, Chordata, Mammalia, Primates, Hominidae.
GGGUCCGCGACCGUGGACUGGAGAGAAGGCGCCGCACAUCAGCUAGAAAGACUCAGGAGUCCCUAUCACCCCCCACCCCAAACUCUGACCUCUUCCAGUCGGCCCCCAGCCCUUUCCUCUGCAGUCCCUGGCAUUCAGCUUCCCUGGUGCCUCCUCUCUCAGACCCAGAACUCCAGGACCCUCCUCCUUCAGAGAGGAGUCCAAGCUCCCAAUCCGCUUUAUUUAGCCCCUAUCUUUCUGGGUCUCCAGGCCCGGCAGGGCUGCAGCGUAGGGUCCGCUCACCUGCACCGUGGGCGGGGUGAAGGGUAUGGGUGGGAUAAUGCGGUGGGAAAAGUAGCUGCUGGUGAGAUGGCAGUUGGGCCUGGAUCCAGGUACCUCGGUUGCAGAGAUACGACAGCCCGGAGCCAGGGUGCCACUGGCCAUGGUUCCACCCCCACUCCGUAGCCAAGCAGGAGCUGGCUUAUUGUGGUUGUUGCCCCAGGUGACAGAACCCGCCCACCCAGAACCUAGUCAAUCAAGGGCCUGCAGGCACCUGGAUGGAUGGAAUGAGAAAGAGACCCAGAGACAGGGACCCCAAGAGGGGGCCCAGAUGCUCCUGGCUGCUUCCUCCCUCUACCAGGCCUGCCCACCUCAGGGUAACGAUUUCCAGACAUCCCCGGGGCUCCCCGACCCUCCCUGCAUGCACGUGCUGAAGUAAUCAGCACUAGCAUUGGCUGUCCUGCCUGCCUUUGAUUGGCUUGAAAAGUUCCACCUGGGUAGGCGGGGUGUGGAAACAGGGAGGCACCCACAGAGAAGUGCACCGGACCAUAGCGAAAAACAUGGGCUUUGAUGAGUGAGAAAGAAAUACAAGAGAGGAGAGAGACAGGGAGGAAGACACAGACCACGCUGGAAACGGAGCUAUUAGUACUCACCCAGAGGCUAGAGCCACCGGAAGUUAGAGACAGAGAGAAAGGCGGCAAAAAAGAGCAAAAUCAGAGAUGGUAACAAGGAGAUGUAGAAACGGAGGCAGCCACACCCCUCCCUGCCGAGGGGCCUGGUCUGUACAGAUUGGUGGAGGGGGUGCCUAUGUCCUUUGCUCAAAGCUGGACCUGAGAGAGAGAGAGGGGGAGAGAAAGUGAGAGAGAGAGAGUGUGUGUGUGUGUCUGUGUCUGUGUGUUGGCAACACAUGUGGGGAGAUGGGUAAUAGGUAAAGGGCUAUUGUGAAGUCCUGUGGUCUGUCCCAGACAGAGAGAAAGAGAGAGAGAGAGAGAGAGACAGAGUGUGUGUGUGUGUGUGUGUCUGUCUGUGUGUUGGCAACACAUGUGGGGAGAUGGGUAAUAGGUGAAGGGCUAUUGUGAAGUCCUGUGGACCAGAGAGAGAGAGAGAGAGUGAGUGUGUGUGUGUCUGUAUGUCUGUGUGUUGGCAACACAUGUAGGGAGAUGGGUAAUAGGGGUCAUAGGUGAAGGGCUACUGUGAACUCCUGUGGUCUGUCCCUGGCUUCCCUUGUCAUUUCUUCACCAUAUAGAGCUUUUGGUCACCGGGCACGAUGACUCACUCCUGUAAUCCCAGCACUUUGAGAGGCAGAGGCGGGCAGAUAACUUGAGGUUAGGAGUUUGAAACCAGCCUGGCCAACAUGGCAAAACCCUGUCUCUAUCGAAAAAUAUAAAAAGUAGCCAGGCAUGGUGGCGCACACCUGUAAUCCCAACUAAGGCAGGAGAAUCACUUGAACUCAGGAGGUGAAGGUGGCAGUGAGCUGAGAUCAUGCCACUGCACUCCAGCCUAGGGGACAGAGCAAGACUCCAUCUCAAAAAAAAAAAAAAAAAUAGCUUUUGGUCUAGGCCUCUGCCUCCUCAACCCUCAUUAUCUCAUCCCACGAGCCCAUUCUUCAGACAAGGAAACCUGAGGCUGCCUUCUGCAGCCAGGCCCACAAUCCCACUUACUGUUCCUCCCUGAAUCAUGCUUCUGGGGCCCUUCUGUUGGAUUUUGCUGACCCUACUCAAGGGCUCUCAAUGACGAAUAACCCCCUGAUCCUAGCCAGGGGGACGGCGAGUUAGUCAGAACCUCAUGUCCCACUCAAACUGGACAAUUUUUUUUUUUUUUUGAGACGGACUUUCCCUCUUUUUGCCCAGGCUGGAGUGCAAUGGCACAGUCUCCGCUCACUGCAACCUCCGCCUCCCGGGUUCAAGCGAUUCUCCUGCCUCACCCUCCAGAGUAGCUGGGAUUACAGGCACCCGCCUACACGCCCAGCUAAUUUCUUUAUGUAAUUUUAGUAGAGACGGGGUUUCACCAUGUUAACCAGGCUGGUCUUGAACUCCUAACCUCAGGUGAUUCGCCUGUCUUGGCCUCUCAAAGUGCUGGGAUUACAGGCAUCAGCCAUCGCACCUGGCCAUCAAGCUGGAAAAUUUUAAGGUCUGUUUCUUUCCCAAUGUAGAGUAAAGUUGCGAUGUCAUCCCCCGACCCCACACUGUUUUCUACCAGAGUUCUCAUACUGUGACUCUGUAUAAAAUGGUUUGGAAGCUGGA